Phascolarctos cinereus (koala) is the source of this 1610-nucleotide non-coding RNA. Lineage: Eukaryota; Metazoa; Chordata; Mammalia; Diprotodontia; Phascolarctidae. The record is from RefSeq and is a predicted model, not a curated record.
GUAUAACUUCCUGUGAGGGGCUGCUGCCUUAGGAGGGCAAAACAGUGAAGGAAACCUUACAGGUGAGCAGAUCAGAGAACAAAACGUUCCGGAUGUUCACCCUAUCAAUUCUCUGCUUUUCCAAGAACAAAAUCUUGAAAUCACUCCUUGUAUUUUCUUGCUCUGGUUAAGAUGAGGAAACUGAGGCUCAGAGCAGUUAAGUGAUUACCUAAGGUUACAGGUGCAUGCAUCGAUGAACCUUGAGUCAGCUUGGUGACACGCGUACAAUCAGCAAUCAAAAAACGAAGCAAUUUGCUGAAGAAUGUCUCAUUUACGCAGGCAGGGCUGCAUAUCUGAGCAGCAACUGCGCUACCUCCAUUAAUAAUGAAUACACCUCAAGCCGUGGCAGAUGGGCAAAAAAACAGCAGCUUCAGUCUUUGUCUCUCACUCUUUGAAGCCCUUGCUGCAGACCCUACCAGCUCUUCAACGUAGGGAGAAGUGAAGCUCCCUAAAAUAGCGAAACAAGCCCAGGAGAGAAAAGGAACCCAAGUCUUCCUGUUUUGCUGACAGAUGGCUGGCUCCUUGGAUGGGUGACAAAUACUGGGAAGCUUCUAUCCCUCUGUUGCAACACUUAGUGCUUCAUUAGACGGAGAAUCAAGUCACCAUAAACACCAGGGAGAGAAACACUAGGGGUCAGUGGGGUAGAAAUGAAAGUUUUCAUUUGGAGCCUUGGCCUACAAGUUGAAGGUCUCCAGUGCCUAUGGUUGAGGACAUCUGGCGGUAGCUCCUUGGAAAAUAAAAGCAUGACCAGAAGAAGAGAACCUCAGCAAAAUCUCCUGUUUUGUUGGCAACCCAAGUAACCUUUGAGGGGAAAUGUUCCCUUACCGAUGAAUGCUUAGUCUACUUGCUGGCUAUGAAUUGGCUUGCUCUUCUGUCACCUGUUUCUUUAUCACAGGUGAUUAGAUUUAAGGCUAGUGGCCUGUUUUCAGCCAAGAACUUCAAACUGGUGGAUGCUCUGUUUGGCCUAAUUCUCUUCCAAUUGGGAAGGUACAAAAUGCUCCACAUCUUCCCUAUCUGCCACAGUACUUGGCAGAGUCAUAGCAAGUCAAUAAAUAUUUGUUGAAUGGUUUAAAGGAUAAAAAUGUGUUGCUUCUCAUUUAUUCAGAAGACAGUAGCACAUAUGCUCCAUACAGCAUUGUUAUCUGUAAUGGUGAUGUAUUUGCACUCAAUCAUUUAUCGUCAUUCUCAGUCCAAUGUAACGAAAAUUAUGUAUUCUAUAGAAGAACUGGUUGGAGUUGGGGAUACACAGAACACGAGCCAGGUGUCAGGGGAGUGGGAGUUGGGGAGAGGAAGGCAAUGUUAAUGCUUUCUUUCAAGUAUGACUGUGUACCCAGGCCCAUGCUCUAUGCACACCUACAAGUACAAUCUGCAACCAUGGAACAGAGCAAAGCUAAAUGCCUCAUAUGGAGAGGCAUUAAGUAGUAUUAAGCCUUUGACCUUGGCUUCAUGAUCACAGUACUCAAAUCAACUGAGCCAACCCACCAUAGGCAAGUAGGAAGAACAAAGCUCAUGGUAUAAUUACACAAAAGCAAUGUUUUGAAAGUCUCAAAGAGCUCUGCCUUUUUUUUAAA